This 497-nucleotide ribosomal RNA is filed under the name uncultured bacterium. RNAcentral describes it as "partial 16S ribosomal RNA". It matches the Rfam family "Bacterial small subunit ribosomal RNA", at positions 28 to 507 of the family's 1533-position model. The record is from RNAcentral.
GAUGAACGCUGGCGGCGUGCCUAAUACAUGCAAGUCGAGCGAACAGACGAGGAGCUUGCUCCUCUGACGUUAGCGGCGGACGGGUGAGUAACACGUGGAUAACCUACCUAUAAGACUGGGAUAACUUCGGGAAACCGGAGCUAAUACCGGAUAAUAUAUUGAACCGCAUGGUUCAAUAGUGAAAGACGGUUUUGCUGUCACUUAUAGAUGGAUCCGCGCCGCAUUAGCUAGUUGGUAAGGUAACGGCUUACCAAGGCAACGAUGCGUAGCCGACCUGAGAGGGUGGUCGGCCACACUGGAACUGAGACACGGUCCAGACUCCUACGGGAGGCAGCAGUAGGGAAUCGUCCGCAAUGGGCGAAAGCCUGACGGAGCAACGCCGCGUGAGUGAUGAAGGUCUUCGGAUCGUAAAACUCUGUUAUUAGGGAAGAACAAAUGUGUAAGUAACUAUGCACGUCUUGACGGUACCUAAUCAGAAAGCCACGGCUAACUACGUG